GACGAACGCUGGCGGCGUGCUUAACACAUGCAAGUCGAACGAUGAAGCCUUUCGGGGUGGAUUAGUGGCGAACGGGUGAGUAACACGUGGGCAAUCUGCCCUUCACUCUGGGACAAGCCCUGGAAACGGGGUCUAAUACCGGAUAACACUCUUCCCUGCAUGGGGAGGGGUUAAAAGCUCCGGCGGUGAAGGAUGAGCCCGCGGCCUAUCAGCUUGUUGGUGGGGUAAUGGCCUACCAAGGCGACGACGGGUAGCCGGCCUGAGAGGGCGACCGGCCACACUGGGACUGAGACACGGCCCAGACUCCUACGGGAGGCAGCAGUGGGGAAUAUUGGACAAUGGGCGAAAGCCUGAUCCAGCAAUGCCGCGUGUGUGAAGAAGGCCUGCGGGUUGUAAAGCACUUUCAGUGGGGAAGAAAAGCUUGGUGUGAAUAGCGCCGAGUCUUG
This 446-nucleotide ribosomal RNA is filed under the name uncultured bacterium. RNAcentral's name for it is "bacterial SSU rRNA". It matches the Rfam family "Bacterial small subunit ribosomal RNA", at positions 28 to 473 of the family's 1533-position model. The record is from RNAcentral.